AUUGAACGCUGGCGGCAUGCUUUACACAUGCAAGUCGAACGGUAACAGGCCUUCGGGUGCUGACGAGUGGCGCACGGGUGAGUAAUGCAUCGGAACGUGCCCAGAGGUGGGGGAUAACGCAGCGAAAGCUGUGCUAAUUCCGCAUGUGAUCUGAGGAUGAAAGCGGGGGACCAGGCAGCAAUGUUUGGCCUCGCGCCUUUGGAGCGGCCGAUGUCAGAUUAGGUAGUUGGUGGGGUAAAGGCCUACCAAGCCGACGAUCUGUAGCUGGUCUGAGAGGACGACCAGCCACACUGGGACUGAGACACGGCCCAGACUCCUACGGGAGGCAGCAGUGGGGAAUUUUGGACAAUGGGCGCAAGCCUGAUCCAGCAAUGCCGCGUGCGGGAAGAAGGCCUUCGGGUUGUAAACCGCUUUUGUACGGAACGAAAAGGCUCUGGCUAAUACCUGGGGCUGAUGACGGUACCGUAAGAAUAAGCACCGGCUAACUACGUG
RNAcentral lists this ribosomal RNA (492 nucleotides) under uncultured bacterium. RNAcentral describes it as "partial 16S ribosomal RNA". It matches the Rfam family "Bacterial small subunit ribosomal RNA", at positions 30 to 507 of the family's 1533-position model. The record is from RNAcentral.